This 253-nucleotide ribosomal RNA is filed under the name uncultured bacterium. RNAcentral describes it as "partial 16S ribosomal RNA". It matches the Rfam family "Bacterial small subunit ribosomal RNA", at positions 524 to 776 of the family's 1533-position model. The record is from RNAcentral.
UACGUAGGGACCGAGCGUUGUCCGGAAUCAUUGGGCGUAAAGAGCGCGCAGGCGGCUGGUCAAGUCCGAUGUGAAAUCUCCCGGCUCAACUGGGAAACUGCAUCGGAAACUGAUCGGCUUGAAGAUGGGAGAGGGUAGUGGAAUUCCCGGUGUAGUGGUGAAAUGCGUAGAUAUCGGGAGGAACACCAGUGGCGAAGGCGACUACCUGGCCCAUUCUUGACGCUGAGGCGCGAAAGCUAGGGGAGCGAACGGG